RNAcentral lists this unclassified non-coding RNA (308 nucleotides) under Hevea brasiliensis (rubber tree). Lineage: Eukaryota; Viridiplantae; Streptophyta; Magnoliopsida; Malpighiales; Euphorbiaceae. The record is from RNAcentral.
AUCAUCACCAGCUUCUUUCGCCACAAAUCUUAAGAAAUAAAUUUUUUUUUUUAAAUAUAGAGACUGUUACAUCUUGGAAUCUGGGUCUUUUGAGUUUUUGCCCAGGGCCGUGCUGACAGCGUGAAAACCUGUAUUAGCAGGAAAAUUUUAUAGAAAAAGCAUGGCAAGUGUUGGUGGUGGUGGUUCGAAUUUUUCUGUUUCGCUCCAAAGCCAACGAGGUCCUUCUACUUCUCCGCCUCUUGAUGCCUUUUUCCUUACUGGGUCUUCUCCUUCCUUCCUAGGCUCAAGAUCCAUGGUGAGCUUUGAGG